RNAcentral lists this ribosomal RNA (235 nucleotides) under uncultured bacterium. RNAcentral describes it as "partial 16S ribosomal RNA". It matches the Rfam family "Bacterial small subunit ribosomal RNA", at positions 118 to 351 of the family's 1533-position model. The record is from RNAcentral.
UGAGUAACCUGCCCUUAACUCUGGGAUAAGCCUGGGAAACUGGGUCUAAUACCGGAUAUGACUCCUCAUCGCAUGGUGGGGGGUGGAAAGCUUUUUUGUGGUUUUGGAUGGACUCGCGGCCUAUCAGCUUGUUGGUGAGGUAAUGGCUCACCAAGGCGACGACGGGUAGCCGGCCUGAGAGGGCGACCGGCCACACUGGGACUGAGACACGGCCCAGACUCCGUACGGGAGGCAG